This 76-nucleotide transfer RNA is filed under the name Thiotrichales bacterium. RNAcentral's name for it is "tRNA-Lys". It matches the Rfam family "tRNA". Rfam says of the family: Transfer RNA (tRNA) molecules are approximately 80 nucleotides in length. Their secondary structure includes four short double-helical elements and three loops (D, anti-codon, and T loops). Lineage: Bacteria; Pseudomonadati; Pseudomonadota; Gammaproteobacteria; Thiotrichales. The record is from RNAcentral.
GGGUCGUUAGCUCAGUUGGUAGAGCACCGGCCUUUUAAGCCGAUGGUCGAGCGUUCAAAUCGCUCACGACCCACCA